Molecule: ribosomal RNA, 449 nt
Filed under: uncultured bacterium
Lineage: Bacteria
Description: partial 16S ribosomal RNA
Rfam family: Bacterial small subunit ribosomal RNA
Source: RNAcentral
GUCGAGAAUCUUUCACAAUGGGGGCAACCCUGAUGGAGCGACGCCGCGUGGAGGAUAAGGUCUUCGGAUUGUAAACUCCUGUCAUGCGUGAACAAGGUUGCUUGGUUAAUACCUGGGCAAAUUGAUGGUAACGCAAGAGGAAGAGACGGCUAACUCUGUGCCAGCAGCCGCGGUAAUACAGAGGUCUCAAGCGUUGUUCGGAAUCACUGGGCGUAAAGGGUGCGUAGGUGGCGUGGUAAGUCAGAUGUGAAAGCCCGGGGCUCAACCUCGGAACUGCGUCCGAUACUGCCAUGCUAGAGGACUGGAGAGGUGACUAGAAUUCUCGGUGUAGCAGUGAAAUGCGUAGAUAUCGAGAGGAAUACCAAAGGCGUAGGCAGGUCACUGGACAGUUACUGACACUGAGGCACGAAGGCCAGGGGAGCGAACGGGAUUAGAUACCCGAGUAGUCC